RNAcentral lists this ribosomal RNA (502 nucleotides) under uncultured bacterium. RNAcentral's name for it is "partial 16S ribosomal RNA". It matches the Rfam family "Bacterial small subunit ribosomal RNA", at positions 30 to 523 of the family's 1533-position model. The record is from RNAcentral.
AUUGAACGCUGGCGGCAGGCUUAACACAUGCAAGUCGAGCGGAGUGAUGGUGCUUGCACUAUCACUUAGCGGCGGACGGGUGAGUAAUGCUUAGGAAUCUGCCUAUUAGUGGGGGACAACAUCUCGAAAGGGAUGCUAAUACCGCAUACGUCCUACGGGAGAAAGCAGGGGAUCACUUGUGACCUUGCGCUAAUAGAUGAGCCUAAGUCGGAUUAGUUAGUUGGUGGGGUAAAGGCCUACCAAGGCGACGAUCUGUAGCGGGUCUGAGAGGAUGAGCCGCCACACUGGACUGAGACACGGCCCAGACUCCUACGGGAGGCAGCAGUGGGGAAUAUUUGACAAUGGGGGGAACCCUGAUCCAGCCAUGCCGCGUGUGUGAAGAAGGCCUUAUGGUUGUAAAGCACUUUAAGCGAGGAGGAGGCUCUUUUGGUUAAUACCCAAGAUGAGUGGACGUUACUCGCAGAAUAAGCACCGGCUAACUCUGUGCCAGCCGCCGCAGUAA